RNAcentral lists this unclassified non-coding RNA (226 nucleotides) under Hevea brasiliensis (rubber tree). Lineage: Eukaryota; Viridiplantae; Streptophyta; Magnoliopsida; Malpighiales; Euphorbiaceae. The record is from RNAcentral.
AUUUAUUCAAGGAUUCAGCCAUGUAAAGUCCCAAAGCUUUAGGAUUUGAGUCCCCAGAUUCCAUAUAGUUUGCAAAUGGAGAUAAUCUAAUUCCAACUUUAUCUGCUCCUAUCUCGUUGGCUACAGCUUCAACUAUUUCCAAAGCGAAACGGCAGCGGUUCUCCAGAGAUCCACCAUAUUGAUCUGUACGAUCAUUCACCUGAUCUUUCAUAAACUGAUCAAUUAG